UACGUAGGGUGCGAGCGUUGUCCGGAAUUACUGGGCGUAAAGAGCUCGUAGGCGGUUUGUCGCGUCUGCUGUGAAAACUCGGGGCUUAACUCCGGGCCUGCAGUGGGUACGGGCAGACUAGAGUGCGGUAGGGGAGACUGGAAUUCCUGGUGUAGCGGUGAAAUGCGCAGAUAUCAGGAGGAACACCGGUGGCGAAGGCGGGUCUCUGGGCCGUAACUGACGCUGAGGAGCGAAAGCGUGGGGAGCGAACAGG
RNAcentral lists this ribosomal RNA (253 nucleotides) under uncultured bacterium. RNAcentral's name for it is "partial 16S ribosomal RNA". It matches the Rfam family "Bacterial small subunit ribosomal RNA", at positions 524 to 776 of the family's 1533-position model. The record is from RNAcentral.